UUUUAUCAAAAACAUGUCUUUUUGUAUUUAAUUUAAAGUUUGACCUGCCCACUGAAAUUUAAAUGGCCGCAGUAUUCUAACUGUGCAAAGGUAGCAUAAUCAUUAGUUUUUUAAUUGAAAGCUGGAAUGAAUGGUUGGAUGAGAUAUUAACUGUUUCAUAUAAAAUGAGAGUAAAAAUUAAUUUUUUAGUAAAAAAGCUAAAAUAUAAUUAAAAGACGAGAAGACCCUAUAAAUCUUUAUAUUAUGUUGGGGUGAUGUUAAAAUUUAAAAAACUUUUAUAAUAUUAUUUACAUUGAUUAAUGAAUUGUUGAUCCAUUUAUUAUGAUUAAUAUAUUAAGUUACUUUAGGGAUAACAGCGUAAUUUUUUUAGAGAGUUCAUAUUGAUAAAAAAGAUUGCGACCUCGAUGU
RNAcentral lists this ribosomal RNA (408 nucleotides) under Apocephalus hystricosus. Its description in RNAcentral is "partial 16S ribosomal RNA". Lineage: Eukaryota; Metazoa; Arthropoda; Insecta; Diptera; Phoridae. The record is from RNAcentral.